Molecule: RNA transcript, 7012 nt
Organism: Hyla sarda
Lineage: Eukaryota; Metazoa; Chordata; Amphibia; Anura; Hylidae
Gene: MYORG
Gene name: myogenesis regulating glycosidase (putative)
Exons: 3
Source: RefSeq, a predicted model, not a curated record
CUGGUGUCUCCUCCUCCUCUGGGGGCGCGGACUUUGCUCUGGGGUCAUGUGACCGGGGUCACGUGCUGAUGUUUGUGUCCCGGGGCCCCGCAGUCUCCCCGAGUUAUUUCGGGCGGAUCCUCGGUGUCUCCUGCAUGAAGAAGUGUCCGUAACCCUAGAAUAGAGGAGCCAACCCUUACUGCCGUCCAUCAUGUACACUUUCCUGCCCGAGAACGUCACGCCGGGCAAGACGAAGGUGUCUAAGCAGCAGAAGCCAUUGAUUGGUGCCGUCCUGCUGGGCAUCGUCUUGGUCAUCGGCGCUGUGGUAUCUUGGUGCUACUACUCCAUCUCCCUGCGCAAAGCCGACCGCCUGAAGACAGAGCUGCUGUACCUGAGGAAAGAUGGAUUCAUCAUACACAACCAGCAAGGCAGGGUGGUCUUCAGGAUGGCCUUCCAGUCUGGGGUUCUAGAUCUAGAUUCCUGCGCAAAAUACGGAGAGAUUUUGUCUUGCACCCGAUCGGAGACGGGGCCCCUGAAAUUCUUUGUCCAGACGGUCAUCAAGGAUAAAGCCACCGUCAUGUGUUACCGGGUUCGCUGGGAGGAGUUUGUGGCCGAUAAGUCGGUCCUCCACACCAUGUACUGGGAUAAUGCCUAUUGGUACGGAGGGGCUGAGAUGCGUACGCAGCACUGGCCCAUCAAGUUAUCCGGGCACCAAGAACCCAAGCCCUUCGUGACUGGCGAUGUCUACUCGUUUAGAGAUGGUUUCGGUGGAAUCUUAGAAAGCUACUGGCUCUCCUCCAACGCAACGGCUAUAAAAAUUAACGCCUCGGUCCCCUUCCAUCUCGGGUGGAACAGCACGGAAAAGGUCUUCUUCUUUGAGGCACGAUAUAAGGAUUCCCCGUAUAAGCCUCCUCCCGGAAAACAGCCCUUCCCCGAGCUGAGCUAUAGGGUGUGCGUGGGGUCAGACGUCACCUCCAUCCACAAGUACAUGGUGAGGAGAUACUUUAACAAGCCCAGCAGGAUCCCCUCAGAAAGUGCCUUCAAGUACCCAAUCUGGUCCACCUGGGCGCAGUACAAAAAAGACGUCAACCAGGAGAAACUCCUGAACUAUACCGAGAGUAUUAAGAAAUACCAGUUCAAUUACAGUCACAUAGAAAUAGAUGACAUGUACUCCAAGUACUACGGGGACUUUGACUUUGACCCCGACAAGUUUCCAGAUGCUCCGGCCAUGUUCAAAAAGCUAAAGGAAGACGGCUUCAAAGUGACCCUGUGGAUUCAUCCUUUCGUCAACUAUAACUCCUCUAACUUUGGCAUUGGCGUAGAGCGGGGGCUCUUCGUGAAGGAGCCCAGUGGUCAGCUGCCAGCCAUGGUUCGAUGGUGGAAUGGGAUUGGCGCUAUCCUGGAUUUUACAAAUCCCAGCACUAAAGAGUGGUUCCAGCACAACCUGAGGCAGCUGAGAACAAAGUACGGCAUUUCAUCCUUUAAGUUUGAUGCCGGGGAAACAAGUUACCUUCCCUACCAGUUUAGCACGUAUCAACCCUUGGCCGAUCCCAACAUGUUCAGUAGGAGGUACACCGAAAUGGCCGACCAGUUUUACGACCUCGCCGAGCUCCGAGUGGGGUAUCAAUCUCAAAACAUUUCAUGUUUCUUCAGAAUCAUUGACCGGGACACCGAUUGGGGCUACGAGUUGGGACUAAAGUCUCUGAUACCCACGGUCCUGACCAUCAGUAUGCUGGGCUACCCCUUCAUCUUGCCCGACAUGAUCGGUGGCAAUGCCUACACCAACUUCACCAAGGACAUGAAGGAGCUCUACAUCCGCUGGCUGGAACUCUCGGCCUUCAUGCCCACCAUGCAGUUUUCCAUCCCUCCCUGGCUCUUUGAUAAAGAAGUUAUCGAAAUCGCUCAGAAAUUCACCAAAAUCCACGAGUCUUUGGUCGCUCCUCUGUUGCUGGAACUUGCUGGAGAAGUCACCGACACCGGAGAUCCCAUCAUUCGGCCGAUUUGGUGGAUUUCUCCCAACGACGAAGCCGCCCAUAAAAUAGAUUCUCAGUUUUUGAUAGGAGACACCUUGAUGGUGGCCCCGGUGCUAGAGCCUGGAAAACAGGAACGUGACGUCUACCUUCCUGCCGGCAAAUGGCGAAGCUACAAAGGGGAACUUUACCAAAGGACUCCCGUACUGCUGACCGACUACCCCGUAGACUUAGAUGAAGUGGCCUACUUUAUGUGGGUGGCUUCUUAAUGCACCGAGUCGAUUUUGGUAACAACGCAGCAUUUUCGCUUCGCACCAGCAAAAUCAUUUUUAAAGCAUCAAGUAUUAACCAGACUUAUCCUCCGAGGACACUAAUGGGCCACGUGGCUGCACUUUCACUUUCAUUUCACAGUAUCAUCCUAUACAACUUUACCACGUGCAUCGUGUACUUAUAUCGAGCUUAAAUUUUAUACCUUAUGCUCCGGUCACCUCCAGAGCUGCAUUCAUGAUUCUGCUGGUUACAGACAGUAAUUCUAGUUCCUACCAUAAGAGCUUUACUCGGAUUAUGUGGUGUAAGCUCCCACAAUGCACUGCCACAAGAAACGAUGAGAAUUCUCAAUGCAGCCCUGGGGGUGUGGGCGGAGCAUAUGCCCAGACGAUUUUAACUGUGUAAUGUAGAAGUGUCUUCAGGGGUUGAGUCUUCCUUUAAGACUGUUCCACGGGUUCUGCUUGUCUUCCGUUGGGCCAUGUUUUGGUUCCUCGGGGGAGGGUCUGGUGUGAUGUUUGGACAUUCGUGUUGGUCCGCCGCCAUAGGGACCGGUACUUUGAGCACUUUAUCUCAUGCUUCCAGCAUAAAUCAUGCUAAGAAGGGAAUAAAAGGGAAUAAGCCCCCCCCCCCCACCAGCAACUCAGUCCCCACCUCCACUUUUGAUCUCUUCCCCACCUUCUCGAUUGGGGGGGGGGGAUCUGGUGCUGUUUGUAGGUUUUUUCCCCUCUAUGUCCCAGAAAUAUUCAAUUUUUUAAUUAAUCCGUAUUAAAGAAGCACUCCUGGAUGAUAGCUUAAGGUAUUAGAGAAUAAUGUAAAGGUUCUUGUGUACGCCCUGUGCUUACCUGUUUGAGCUAAAGUGGCAGGCAUGGGGUUGUUAGCCCAUACUGGUUGUAAUUCUAUCACUGAAAGGAUUUCCUGCUGCCCACAUUUCCCAUGAAUCCUCUGGCUUUCCAGAGAGAGGGGGUGGAGUCCUAUCACUGCACCUGGUCAUCAGAUUAGGCUGCUGGUGCUGGAGGUGGCCCAGGUGACCUGGUUUAGACUCUAUUGGGUUGGGUUUAGUUCACGUGUGCAGUUUUGUGCAUUAAAUAGGCAGAAAACAAACCCGGAGUGCUUCUUUAAGGAAUCUAGUCAGGGUUAAAGGGGUAGUACACUGCCCCAGCGUUCGAAGCAUUUUGUUCCGAAUGCUGGGUGUGGGCUGCGGGGGUCGUGACGUCAUGGCAGCGCCCCUCGUGAUGUCACGCCUCACCCCCUCAGUGCAAGUCUAUGGGAGGGGGCGUGGCCACCGCCACGCCCCCUCCCAUAGACUUGCAUUGAGGGGGCGUGGCCGUGCCCGUGAUGUCACGACCCCCGCACAAUGGGGCAGUGGAGUACCCCUUUUAAGGGAAAAUUGUAAGCAUCUUGUGCGUCAGCGAGUUCACUUGACGAGCCAUAGUAACCGAGAGCUGGGUUGGGUUGGGUAUUUUUGCUACAUUAUUAAAAUAAGGGGGAGGGGUAGUGGGCGUGGCCUUGUAUUAGACACAUCACCAUCUCCCUGUGGUUAGGGUAUAGAAUCACAAACCUAAUGAUCUGACCCGCCUGCCGGUUCCACGCAGUCAUUUGACCACUUGGCUCCUCCCAAAGUGGGAACGAUCGGUGCGAUGCAGAUCUUAGGCCUGACUGUGGGUGAGGGGGCUUAACUUUCGUUAGGGAUGGGAAGGUUCCUUUUAAUUUCCAUGAUUUUAAAGGGGUACUCCGCCCCUAGAAAUCUUAUCCUUUGGAUAGGGGAUAAGAUGUCUGAUCAUGGGGUCCGACUUGUUUAAAAUCUAAUUUUAACAUUUUUACUUCUCGAGGAGAGCGCUAAACUGGAAUAGGGAAUCUGGAGAAAAUAAUUUCAUAUGCAAAAUAAUUCAACUCCGUAAGAAAAAGUCUUCUGCCACCGGUUGAAAGUCAGUGUCCAACUAUUUUUAAAAGCCUUGAAACAUGACUGGGAAUCAUCAGCCAAACCUGAAUCUCCUUCGAAAGGAAGAGUCCCACGUUCUCUGAUGUGAUGUCAGCUGUUUCGGUGUUCUUGGCCCCGUUGUGCUACCUGUUGGAAGUAGCCUCCCUGUCAUCGUCUGACUUCCUAAUACCCAGUCAUGUUUCAAGGCUUUUAAGAAGUCUGAUAUUUGCUUACAGGGAGGCGACUACCAACUGGUGGCACAACGGGGCCAAGAACACCAAAACAGCUGACUUCACACGGGGGAGCGAGGUACUUGUCCUUUCGGAGGAGAUUCAGGUUUGACUGAUAAUCCCCAGUCAUGUUUUAAGGCUUUUAUAGGUCAAACCAGAAUCCUCUCCAAAAUGAAGAGCCCCACCACUGUUUCAGUGUUCUUGCCCCUUGAUAUUAACUAACAAGGAAGAGAUGUAUCGAUUGUCGCCAUUUUGAAUAUAGGAAAUGGGUAAAUGGGACCCAUCUAGCGGUUGAUGGAACUCGAUCGCAUCUGUACGAGGCCCUAGCGUCUAACGUUUGUGUUUGCACUACGGCGGUGCAUUGUGGGAGAGCCCUCGCCUUUCCCGUGCUGUCUAAGGAACUUUGAGCCAUUAUGAUCGCCAUUUUGUUUAUAUUACAAAGUCUAAUUUAAUCCUGGAAGUAAAGUGCCAGCUACCUUACUGUGACUCGGGGUAGUACAGCUGCUGCCCCCGGUGGUGAGGAGGUGAGCUGCACUGUUAACUUAUAAGGGUUGCAGUGAUUUUUGACGGGAUUUAGAUGCAAUUUUUGGCCUAACUACAUGGUCUAAUGAUUGGUGGCGACACCAUCGUGGAGCUGGAACGUGAAUAUCUUCAUUGUUUUUCCUUCGCUAUCUCCGCCUCCGCUACAUCCGAAAUGCCUUGUUGCCCCCUCAUUUGUACCAUGCGCCCUUUUGUUGUUGCCGGUAUUGUAAUGUAGACGAGCUCCUCUUUUAUAUUGAUGGCGGCCCUCCUGACAACAGCCAGUCAGACGGAAGCUCUAGCUUUUAAUGGAAUCUGGUUGCUUGGGGCAAUUGUAUGUAAGAUGCCCUUUAAAGGAGUACUCCGCUGCUAGACAUCUUAUCCCCCAUCCAAAGGUUAGGGGAUAAGAUGUCUGAUCGCGAAGGUCCCGCUGCGAUCUCCGGCAGCACCCAAAGUUCUAAACACACGCGGGUUCCUGCGGUAGGGGUCGUGGCUGUGACGUCACGAUCACUGCCUUGGGCUCCGAGCGUUCUGAACAAAGUGUUCAGAAUGCUGGAGCAUCGGAGUACCCCUUUAAGAUGUCUAGAAGAAGCUUCCUAUGAGGUCCCCACUGCUGGUCCAUAAGUUGAGUUGAUGAAGGUAUCGGGAGAAUCCCUGAUUUUUGUGAAAGCGGAGAGAAACCGGGAGAAUAUUUUUGUAACAAUUUUUAUUUUUCUACGAUGUGAUAGAAGCUUCGUGUACGUGAUGUGUCGUUUUGUAGGAUCGUACAAGAUUUAUGUAAAUUGUGUAUUUAAAGGGGGACUCCACCCCUAGACAUCUUAUCCCUUAUCCAAAGGAUAGGGGAUAAGAUGUUUGAUUGCGGGGGACCCUCCGCGAUCCCGGCUGCGGCACCCUAGACAUCCGGUGCACGGAGCGAACUUCGCUCCGUGCCAGAUGACUGGCGAUGCGGGGCGGAGGCUGGUGACGUCACGGCCACGCCCUGCUUGUGACAUCACAGCCACGCCCCCCUCAAUGCAAGUCUAUGGGAGGGGACGUGGACGUGACGUCACGAGCGGGGCCGGCCGUGAUGUCACAAGCCUCCAUCGCUGCACCCGACGCUCUAAACGAAUGCCAGGUGCAGCAGGGAGAUCGCGGGGGUCCCCAGAACAGACAUCUUAUCCCCAUCCUUUGGAUGAAGGAUAAGAUGUCUAGGGGCGGAGUACCCCUUUAAAGGUUUGUGCCAAAUCAAUCAGUAAAAGGAGAGUAUUGUACAAGGCCUGAACGUGUGAUCAUGGUAUAAAUCAGUGGUCUCCAAAACUUUGCGGACCUUCAGAUGUUGCAAAACGACAACUCCCAGCAUGCUUGGAGUUGUCGUUUGCAACAUGGAGGUCUGCAGGUUUGGAGACCCCCUGUCUUCAAGGAAAACAUAACACCCAGACCUAUAUAGGAUUUUUACUCUUGCUAAGGGGGUUGUCUCGUAGACAAGAACCUCCACGUUACAAGAGAUUCCAUUGACUCCAUUCUCAAGGCCGUCGGCAAACAAUGGAUUUUCGGGAAAGUUGCCAACGACUGCGUACAUCUCGUAUAGAAGGGGAUUGUGGUAAAUCAUAGCUAGACACAGAUUGGCCGAAUUCCAUUCGAAGCCAAGGCGUGUUAAUCUCACGUAGGAAAGGGUUCCAUUUUACGAUGUCCACAUGCCCUAAAAGAGACCAUGGACAAACUUUUAUCCUAACCCCCGAAAUAUGAUCUCCGUUUAUUGGAAUUUAAGGGAAAUGUCCGAGACUUAUAGAGAUUAUCCAGCGUUUCGCUAAUAUUCAUAUCCUUCUGAAGGGUGGAAUAAAAAUGGAAAAACCCUAUACUUACCUAGCCCCAGUUUCCUGUAGCUCCUUCUGGUUUCCUGAUCUUCUCUCUUCUUCCAAGAUGAGCGAUUGGUGCUUGACCUGCCCAUUCUGGGAAUUGCUGGCCAUGGCAGUGUCCUGUCUUAUACAGUGCUCGAGUCAGCCGGCAGGUCCUACAGUGCUCGAGUCAGCCGGCAGGUCCUACAGUGCUCGAGUCAGCCGGCAGGUCCUACAGUGCUCGAGUCAGCCGGCAGGUCCUACAGUGCUCGAGUCAGCCGGCAGGUCCUACAGUGCUCGAGUCAGCCGGCAGGU